UAACCCCGUCCGCGGCCCGCGACCAACCCCCGGUGAAACCCCUUCGACGAGUCGAGUUGUUUGGGAAUGCAGCUCAAAACGGGUGGUAAAUUCCAUCUAAAGCUAAAUACCGGCCGGAGACCGAUAGCGCACAAGUAGAGUGAUCGAAAGAUGAAAAGCACUUUGGAAAGAGAGUCAAACAGCACGUGAAAUUGUUGAAAGGGAAGCGCUUGCGACCAGACCUGCCCGCGGGCGAUCAGCCCCCGUUCUCGGGGGUGCACUCGCCCGCGACCAGGCCAGCAUCGGUCCGGGCGGCCGGAGAAAGGCCGGGGGAACGUAGCUCCCCACGCGGGGAGUCUUAUAGCCCCCGGCGCCAUACGGCCAGCCCGGACCGAGGACCGCGCUCCGGCGAGGAUGCUGGCGUAAUGGUCGUCAGCGGCCCGUCUUGAAACACGGACCAAGGAGUCUAACGUCUAUGCGAGUGUUUGGGCGUCAAACCCACGCGCGGAAUGAAAGUGAACGGAGGUGAGAACCCCCCCCCGCGGGGGGCGCAUCAUCGACCGAUCCAGAGGUCUUCGGAUGGAUUCGAGUACGAGCAUAGCCGUGGGGACCCGAAAGACGGUGAACUAUACUUGAAUAGGGUGAAGCCAGAGGAAACUCUGGUGGAGGCUCGCAGCGGUUCUGACGUGCAAAUCGAUCGUCGAAUUUGGGUAUAGGGGCGAAAGA
Molecule: ribosomal RNA, 705 nt
Filed under: Squamarina subcetrarioides
Lineage: Eukaryota; Fungi; Ascomycota; Lecanoromycetes; Lecanorales; Squamarinaceae
Description: Squamarina gypsacea var. subcetrarioides partial large subunit ribosomal RNA
Rfam family: Eukaryotic large subunit ribosomal RNA
Source: RNAcentral